AUGAACGCUGGCGGCGUGGAUAAGGCAUGCAAGUCGGACGAUUUCCUUUUUUGAAGAAGAUGCGAUUACAUCAAGUCAACUGAUAUUUUGGAGAUAGUGGCGAACGAGCUAGUAACACCUUGGUACGUACCCAAAAGUUUGGUAUAGCUCGCCGAAAGGCGGGGUAAUCUCAAAUAAUCCCUCUAUCUAUCGGAUAGAAGGGUAAAGUCGCAAGACGCUUUUUGGAGCGGCCUAGGACCGAUCAGUUAGUUGGUGAGGUAAUGGCUCACCAAGACGAUGACCGGUAGGGG
This 290-nucleotide ribosomal RNA is filed under the name uncultured bacterium. RNAcentral describes it as "partial 16S ribosomal RNA". It matches the Rfam family "Bacterial small subunit ribosomal RNA", at positions 29 to 289 of the family's 1533-position model. The record is from RNAcentral.